AUGACCACCAACUCCGGCUACUCCAGAUCCCUCCGCCUAUCCACCCCGAGGAUCCGGAUUCUCCUCUUCCGGAGACCAUCCUCAUCGACUCGUUCGGCUACCUCAGCGACCGCACCAACGCCACCACCGCCAGUGGCCGCAGGAGCAGGACCAAGAAGAAGGGCAAGCGCAUCCUGGUCACCUUCUGGCCGGCUGCCACGCCGCGCGUCUCCUGCUUCACCGUCCAUUGCCCAGAUCUGA
Molecule: ribosomal RNA, 240 nt
Filed under: Triticum aestivum (bread wheat)
Lineage: Eukaryota; Viridiplantae; Streptophyta; Magnoliopsida; Poales; Poaceae
Description: partial small subunit ribosomal RNA
Source: RNAcentral